Molecule: ribozyme, 195 nt
Filed under: Anopheles stephensi (Asian malaria mosquito)
Lineage: Eukaryota; Metazoa; Arthropoda; Insecta; Diptera; Culicidae
Description: drz-agam-2-2 ribozyme
Rfam family: drz-agam-2-2 ribozyme
Source: Rfam by way of RNAcentral
AUAAACUAGCUCUGUUUAUAGGGUAGGAUCCGAGAGACUCCUUUCGGGGUCACACAGGCUCUCUUACCUAACUUCUAUUCCAUCACGUCCUCGUCGUACAGAUUGGUAACUUUCCCCAUCACAUAUGCAAGCUUGGGUACACGGGCCUGUCCCAACCCAUUGGGCGGAUGGUGGAGAAAGGCUAAACAAAAGGGA